AUGAAGAAGAAAAACGCUAAACCUUAGUCUCAAUCUUUCAAUGUCGCAAUCUUCCAGCUCUCAAACACGACCCCUCGUCUCUCAAACUCGAACCAUAAUUUUUCUCCUUCAUUCAUGUCAUUUUGUUUAUGUUUCGUUAGAUUAUGGCGUGCACGGGCACAAUCUUCUAACUUCAGCUCUCAUUCUCCAUUGUUUUGGGUUUAUGGAAAUCACUCAUUCAGAGACAGAAAUUUCUUCAAGAAAUCGCUUCAAGAAAUCGGUGAAAGAAGGAAAUCGCUUCAAGAAAUCCUUGAAAGAAGGAAAUCGCUUCAAUGUUCGGUUGCCAUUCUCUUCAUCAAAGAAAUCAAUUUUCAGGGCUCUAGCUAUAAACAAAUCCCGCAUGACGCAUGAAAAAUCUAUUUCAAGAAACAGAAGCACCACUUCUAGAACGCAUCAAAGAACGCAGACACCACCAAUUCAGACGACCAAAGCAGCAGCACCGCCUCAGACAACCAAAGCAGCAUCACCGUCUCAGACAAUCGAAGCAGCACCAUCGAAUUUUAAGCAAUGCACAUUCGUGCCUACCACGGGAGUGACUCAACAUGUUUUGCCAGGUCCAGCUCUCCAUCACACCACGAUGGUAGAAGAGGCGGGAGACCAAACAGUUUCUGAUGAGGAAGAGGAGGUGGAACAAGCAUUUUUUGAUAGGCAAAGGGAGAUGAUUAAAAUUGUAGACUAUGGUCUCUUGUUUGGUGGGAGCCGUGUGAUGACGCCAAAAUAAAAUAUGAGUUUGAGAAACAAUGUGGUAAAAGAAUAAAUGGUGUAUUUUAUAAGAUUAGGAAAAAGAUGAUAAGACUGCCUUUGAUGGGUGAAAAUGUAUGGUAGUAUCUUGUUGACGGGUGGUAAAAAGCAGAUUUCAAAAAGCUCUCCCAACAAAAUAAGAAUAACCGAGCAUCAAGCAGAGGUGGGCGGUCAAUACCCCAAUACCACGGAGAAGAAGUUAAAUCAACCGUCCAAUCCUGACGAACUCUUUAUGGCCACUCAUAAAAAGAAGGAUGGGCAGUGGGUUGACCGUCGUGCAGAGAAAACACAUAAAAUGGAUCGAAGUUGGAUGCAUGCUAGAGUAAACUCCAAUAGGUAUGGUUUGAAAGAUGGAUUUUUUAAUGGAGUUGACGAUUUUGUCAAUAAAGCCAUGAAUCAACCACAAGUUUUAAACAAGGGAAGGAUAAGGUGUCGUGUAAAAUGUGUCUGCAUUCUUUUGAAGACGCCUAGUGAAAUUAGACAUCACUUGUACACAGAUGUUUUUUUGCCCAACUAUUAUACAUGAUUUGAUCAUGGAGAAGAGAAUCAGAUUGAUGGUCAUUCUAGUAGUGGCGAGAAUGCUGGUGGGGAUAAUUUGAGUGAUGCUAUUAGGCCAUUUGUUAAUGUCCCCAAUGUAAAUGCUAAUAUGGAAAACGAAACAGUUAGCGAGGGUGAGGUACCAAAUGAAGAAGCUCAACGAUUUUAUGAUGGAUUGAUCUCUGGAAACCAAUCCAUUCAUGUGGGAGCUUCUGAAUCCAGACUAUCUAUUUCAAUUAAGUUAUUGGCUUCCAUGUCUAAUUGGCAUGUUCAUCAAAAGGCCAUGGAUUUUUUCAUUCAAAUACUUAUCGAUGUUUGUCCAACAAAAUAAUGCUUAUCUGAAAAGUAUUACCAAGUGAAGAAUUUGGUGUCUAAGUUAAGAUUGGAGGUUGAGAAAAUUGAUUGUUGUGUGAAUGAAUGCUUAUUAUAUUUUAAAGAAGAUAGAACUUUAACUCAGUGUAGAGUUUGUGGAGCUGCUAGGUAUGUUCCUCGAAAGAGUGGAACUUUGUAAUGAGAUCUCAAUUAAUGUAGACAAUCAAUGAUUUUCCAACAUAUGGUAUGUUGUCUGGAUGAAGGACACAAGAUAAAUUAACAUGCCCUUAUUCCAUGGACAAUAUAGAUACUUUCACCUUAAAAUUUGGUGGAAAAUGUUCCUAGUUUGAUUGCAUUUAAUCGUAUCGAACUUCAACAAAUGUAAUUAUCUACUAUGUCAUUCACCUUUUAUAUGGUAUUCUUCACCGGUUACCGUUGAGAAUC
This is an RNA transcript of Lathyrus oleraceus (garden pea), 2073 nucleotides long. RefSeq lists it as uncharacterized. NCBI's taxonomy places the organism in Eukaryota, Viridiplantae, Streptophyta, Magnoliopsida, Fabales, Fabaceae. The record is from RefSeq and is a predicted model, not a curated record. The transcript has 6 exons.